CCUACGGGAGGCAGCAGUGGGGAAUAUUGGUCAAUGGGCGCGAGCCUGAACCAGCCAAGUAGCGUGAAGGAUGACUGCCCUACGGGUUGUAAACUUCUUUUAUAAAGGAAUAAGGUGAGUCACGUGUGCCUCUUUGUAUGUACUUUAUGAAUAAGGAUCGGCUAACUCCGUGCCAGCAGCCGCGGUAAUACGGAGGAUGCGAGCGUUAUCCGGAUUUAUUGGGGUUAAAGGGAGCGUAGGUGGGUUGUUAAGUCAGUUGGGAAAGUUUGGGGCUCAACCGUAAAAUUGCAAUUGAUACUGGCAGUCUUGAGUACGGUAGAGGUAGGCGGAAUUCGUGGUGUAGCGGUGAAAUGCUUAGAUAUCACGAAGAAUUCCGAUUGCGAAGGCAGCUUACUGGACUGCCACUGACGUUGAUGUUCGAAAGUGUGGGUAUCAAACAGGAUUAGAUACCCGUGUAGUC
Molecule: ribosomal RNA, 460 nt
Filed under: uncultured bacterium
Lineage: Bacteria
Description: partial 16S ribosomal RNA
Rfam family: Bacterial small subunit ribosomal RNA
Source: RNAcentral